AUUUCCUUAUAAGUCUGUCACCCUUAAAUAGUGUAAACAGAGAUUUAGAAGAAAAAAUGAGAAGCAUUGCUUUUAUGUUAGGUAUUUGAGAACCAUGAAGAAAAAUCAUAUCCAAGGUAGAUUUUCCUUCUUGGUUUAGAAUUCAGUCCAUAAUAGCAGUGAAAGGAGCUAAGGUUCAAAGAACCGAAUCUCAAAUACUAGUUUGUUAUUCAUAAAAGUUAAACAGUAAGUGAUUUUAGUAUCUUAGCUUUCUGUCUGUUUUCAGAUACAGUUUCCAUGUGACUGCCAGCCAUGAGCUGUAGCUCAAGCAACUGAUUAUUAAUGAUUUUUGAGUUAUCAUGCACAGCUUUUAUGGAUUAUUUUAUUUUUAUCCUGAGUUUUAAGAUGCCCAGAAUGAUCAUUUUUUCCCUCUUUUAAGGAGUGGUGGAAAGGUCCUUGAGCUUAUUUGUGCUCAGAAUGGAUUUACAGGCAGGAGUUUAUUUGUAGUUUUUGGUUAGUCUCCAUUAAACAUUAUUCAUUUAAAAAAUGGAAGUCUAUAUUUUUAUACAUGCUGCUUUGAUAAGAAUAUUCCACUGUUUGAAGAGAAUAAGCUCCUGGGAAAUUACACCAUUAGUAGCUUUUCAUGAGUAGUAGCCUCAAGUGGUAGUCUCCCUUCUUGCAGGAGAAAGUAAAGUAUUUUUCACACCUGUCAAGUUACUCCUAGGUUCAGUGUGUAAUCAGUGAUUUGAGACUCUGUGUAGGUCAUACAGAAGUGUCAAACAGAGCCCAUGAAAUGAAAACGCAUUUGUGCCUUCUUUUGAUUUAUAAUUCAAAUUGCCUUCAUUUUCCUCAUAUCUUCUCAAAAUCAUGUUCUUCCAUUUUUUGAAGCUAUUCUUAAACUUUGUUAUCCACGUCUUAGGUUUUCCAAAGACAAGUAUAUUGGCCUAUGCUGUAGUAAUCUUCCUUAAUUGAUUUGGGAUGUCUGCCAGUGUCUUAUUAUUCUGCGCUGAUAUCUUUAUAUGACUGGCUUUUAUCCAAGUGCUGUCAUCUUUCUCAUUUUCUUCAUCUCUUUUUGUGUUGAGACAAUAUUCUUAGCCUUUGAGUUGCUCCUUCAUCCCUCGUGUUCGCAGUGGAAAAGGAUUGUAGGUACCGGAAAGCAUAUAUACGGAAGUUGGAGAACUGAUAAAUGCUAAGGACUGUUACCUGAUUUCUUUAGAGGUGAGACCAUAUGGAGGUAAUUUAGAAGUAUUACAUUUUCUCUUGGAUCAGUGUGCAAAUAUUUAUAAGUAACACAUAGUAACUGUCCACGGUUAUUUUUCUGUUAAUAUUAAAACAAUAAUGAAUUCUCAGGCUGUUAGUAUAUUUUAUGUAAUAUACUCUGUGGAACUGAUAUAAUUACAAUCAGUAAUAUAGACUUUUAGUCCACAUUUAAAGUAGUAUCUGAGUAGCUCGUUAUUUUCAAAGUAUGUUCAUAUCCAUAACACCUUGUUAGACAUUAUUAAUUAUAACCUGCCAUCAUUUUACAGGAGAAUUGGAAACUACAGGCUCUUUUUACACCAUUUCUUUGAAAGCAGUGCUGAUUUGUAACCAGAUUCACCAUCUGACCAUGCAAUUCACUACAGGGGGUGACAUUAGGGCCAGAUUUUGGGUAAGCCAGCUGCUGCAAACAGCAGGAAAAUGUCUGGUACCCGCUGCACCGUAAAGUGCACCCAAAGAUUCCCUUAUCUGCACUGACAGCAGAUCCACCCCAGUAGCACAUGCCAGACCAUUUUCAUAUUUCUUGCCUGUAUUUGCAGUGACAAUAUGGGACCAAUAGAGUGUGUACAAGAGAACCUACAGUUAUUCCUAGGAGGGACCGAUUUAGCAUUUGCAUGUGAAGGUGGUUGCUUGUAAAGACAAGGUAGUUACCUGGAAGCAGGUCUCCAGAAGUUGAGUAUGUCAGAACGUUGCUGUGACCAUGCAGCUCAGGUUUGGUGAUGGACACCAUCACCAGGACUCAGCAACCUGCUCUGUAUCACACAGGGAAUAUGAGAUAAAGUAGAAAACUAAAUUCUCUAUUUCUACACCCUGGAACAGUAUCAUAAAUCUUGUGCCUUUGUGCUAUGAAAUAGUUAUACUUGCCAGUCACAUAGUACUAUCUAUAUUUAAAAAGUAAUAUGAAGAUUAACUAGUCAGUGUUCACACAGUUCUUAGAAGGCAGGAAAUGAUUAUUCUAAAUAUUCAGGUCUUAACCCUGAACCCGAAGGCUGCAGCAUUUAAGUAAUGCGGAUUAUAGGUUUGAGUCUUCUGUUCAACUUUGAAUUCAGGAUGUAGCAUCACAGAAGAUCAAAUCUUUGCAAGCUCUAUCCAGAUGACUCGGUAGUCUAUUUUGCCAUCUUGUCCUAUAAUUAGCUGCAGCAAAUGGUAAGUAGCAGGGAUUUUUAAAUCCUGGAUUUAAUAUUCUUCUAAAAGAUACAAGGUAUCUGGACAAUCUGUCUUUUUCUUCUCUAUCAUUUCAAAAGCACCUGAAAACUUGGCCUCUAAAUUCUACUGAGCAGAUUUAGUCCCAAAGGGCAUGGGAUAAAUAAAAUUAGUCUGGGCAUAAGUAAAAAUGGAAAGGGCAGAUUGGUAGCAUUGCAUAGAGAAGACAGUCUGUUCAGCAUAAAAGAGAAACAAAAUAUCAUACCAGGUCAGGCUAUCUCUUGAAUGUAUUUAGACCUUAGACAGCAUUAAUAAACUACUUAAUCUCUCAGGCAUGUAGCAAGAGAAGAGUAUAACGCGUACAAGAGAAUACAAUACGUACAAGAGAAGGGUAUAAUGCUCCUGUGUGUAAUUUAUUCUGUCCCCAGUCUGUAGAUGCCUAUUUUCAUGCUCUAGGGAGAGUUUUCAGAGUUUGUUUCCAGAUUCUCUGAACUUUCAAAGAUGCCAGAGCAAGCAUAGCUGCACACAGGCAAAUGAUUAAUAUGAUACUUAAAAGAGUAGAUAGAAAAAUGAGCUACCUCUGUAAAUCACUGCCGCAAAAUCUAAUGAAGCUAAGAAUUCAGGACCAAACAGAGAGCUCUGGAUGAUUUGUGAGUAUUUGGGUACCCAAUGUUGAAACAGUCAGAAUUGAAACCAAACCCAAUCCAAAAGAAGUAAUUGGAAAUACUCAGUAUGUUCCCAUAUGAUGGUAGGAGCAAGAGAAUAUCUCUGUGUUAAAUUAUUUUCUACUUACAUUUCCUUGUAGGAGAUGGGGGAGGCAGUUUGCUGAGGAGAUGGAGCUCAUUGUUUAAAUGAGAGAUUGGACCAGGUGAUUUGUCCUUUUAGUCACCUCCUUCCCAUUGUGUUUCAGAGGCCUAGUAUUAAAAGGGAGCCAUUAGAAGUCAUGACUGGCCUCAGAGGACCUCUCCCUGGACUCGUGCUUAAUUCUACACAGCCACUCACUCACUGCCAUCUUUGAGGAAAGCAAGAGAGAACUGGAAAGAAAAGGUGUAUGGAUUAGUUGGAUGAACCUGUCAGUGGAUAAGGAGUGGAUGGCCACAUUCAAAGAGCUGUGGUACACAGCCCGAUGUUCAGCUGGAGAACAAAGAAGACUGAUGUCCUUCAAGAGCUGUUACUGGGACAGGUAUCAUUUAAUAUCUGUAUUGGAGACGUGGACAGUGGUCUCAGGUUCACCCUCAGCAGGUCUGGGGUUGACACUAAGCUGCGUGGUGCGGUCAGCAUGCUGGAGGGAAGUGAUGCCCCUAUGAGGGACCUGAGGAGGCUGAAGAAGUGGGCCUGUGUGAACCUCAUGAAGUUAACAAGGCCAACUGCAAGGUCUUGCACUUGGGUUGGGGCAAUCCCAAGCAUGAAGACAGGUUGAGUGGAGAAUGGAUUAAGCUCAGACACGCAGUGAAGGAUUUAGGUGUGUUGUUGGACAAAAACAGAAUGUUUCUGAAUUCUGAAUGAUGAAUGAAUACGUUUGUCCAACAGUUAAUUCCUUCAAUUCAAGCAUCAGGUCCAGUUUUCAUUUACUUUUGUCUUCCAUGAGCUUCUAGUCAUUGAGUUUCUGUAAUGUUUUUGGUCUUCUUCCUCUCAGUUUCUGUAUAUUGAGAAUUUCAAACUACUUCUUACCUUUUUUCUUCUUUAUGUAAGAAUAGACUGAGUUUAUCAUUUUAAAAGUAACACAGGUUUUCAUAACCUUCUUCUGCUAUCUUUCAAAUUUACCAGUAUUAUGUUUUUAAAUGAAGAUAUUCAUGGUCUUUCACAAGUAGUCCCAUCAUCUCCAGACAGUAGGAAGAUCACCUUCUUAAUUGCUACUGCCAGAGCCAUAGCAAGAACACAAAUACAGUUUGCAUUUGCCCAGUUUGCUGCUGCAGCACUGUGUUGGUAUUACACAUUUAGUUGAUUUAUCACUUUAAUGACUGAUUUUUUUCUUUUUCAGAGUAAUUUCAUCACCUUAAUGAAAAGGAAGAUGACCUUUUAAAAUAAUUACAUCCAAUAACAACUCAAUUUUAGUGUGAUAAAUGCUCUUUGCUCCUUAAUUUGUAUUAUUUGAUUUGUAGCAAUGCAAUAGCAGGAUAACUAAAUUUCAGCUAAUCCCCAAUGAAUAUCAUUCAAAGAGUGAAAAAAAUAUAUUUUCAAAUACCUGGAACAAGAUGUCAGUGCACACAACUCUGUCCUCUACAGCAGUGGACAGAUCUUCUUCCUAACCCUAAGUAAUUAUGGGCACAGAAUUUAAAGAAAUCUAUAUGCAGACAUCCGUAUGCAAUCCUUUCCGCAUUAUCUGGGAAUUACUGUUUUCUUACCUUCUGGGAAGUGUCUGUGUGGAGACCCUUUAUUUUACCCGUUCAUUGCAGCCCAUUGCUGCUGUCUGUGCAGGUUACGCCCAAAUGAAGGCUUGCAAAGUCUUCCAUACACUAGUACUUAGCAGGCACUUCUACCAAAACAGCCUCAGGUGGAUGUUUUUCUACUAAAGUCAAAGUGUCAGAGGGCACACAAUGCUUUUCACUAAGAUAUCUUGUCUCUAGACAGCGCACAUCUGUUCUCUGAACAGUAUGUUCAUGAAUGAACUGGAGUAGAGAGUGAGCUCUGAGGUGAUUAAAGUCUUCUGAUGAUACAGUGUUAUUCAAAGCAAAAAAGACAGGAGCUUACCAUGAAAAACUACAUAGAGAUCUUACAAGACUGAGUGACGGGGCAAUAAAAUGAAAGAUAAAAUUCAGUGUAGAUAAAUG
This 5150-nucleotide long non-coding RNA is filed under the name Gallus gallus (chicken). Its description in RNAcentral is "lncRNA (ENSGALG00010007494.1)". Lineage: Eukaryota; Metazoa; Chordata; Aves; Galliformes; Phasianidae. The record is from RNAcentral.